Molecule: long non-coding RNA, 7086 nt
Organism: Acipenser ruthenus (sterlet)
Lineage: Eukaryota; Metazoa; Chordata; Actinopteri; Acipenseriformes; Acipenseridae
Exons: 3
Source: RefSeq, a predicted model, not a curated record
AAUGCCUAUUGUUGACAUCUAUGAAAAAGAUCUAGGAGUUUAUGUUGACUCACAAAUGUCUUCAUCUAGACAAUGUGGAGAAGCUAUAAAAAAGGCUAAGAUGCUUGGAUAUAGUGUGAAAAGUGUUGAAUUUAAAUCAAGGGAAGUAAUGUUAAAACUUUACAAUGCAUUAGUAAGACCUCAUCUAGAAUAUUGUGUUCAGUUCUGGUCACCUCGUUACAAAAAGGAUAUUGCUGCUCUAGAAAGAGUGCAAAGAAGAGCGACCAGAAUUAUUCCUGGUUUAAAAGGCAUGUCAUAUGCAGACAGGCUAAUAGAAUUGAAUCUAUUCAGUCUUGAACAAAGAAGACUACGCGGUGAUCUGAGCCAAGCAUUCUAAAUUCUAAAAGGUAUUGACAAUGUCGACCCAGGGGACUUUUUCGACCUGAAAAAAGAAACAAGGACCAGGGGUCACAAAUGGAGAUUAGAUAAAGGGGCAUUCAGAACAAAAAAAUAGGAGGCACUUUUUUACACAGAGAACCAACUCCCCAGUAAUGUUGUUGAAGCUGACACCCUGGGAUCCUUCAAGAAGCUGCUUUAUGAGAUUAUGGGAUCAAUAAGCUACUAACAACCAAACGAGCAAGAUGGGCCAAAUGGCCUCCUCUCUUUUGUAAACUUUCUUAUGUUCUUAUGCCAGGUGUACAAAACAUGGUUAUUUCAACAGCCACUGUAUUCAUUCUCUGAUGGAACAUAGAGUUAAAAGUCAAGUAGUCUGCUUACCUGACAUGGGGCUAAAAUCUCUAGUUAGGAAAUAACAGUAAAAGGCAGUUUUACAGUUCAUGCAUAAAAAAUAAAUACAGAUUUAAUUUACAUUCUCUAGUUUCAAAACAAAGAGGGAUUAUAUUAGUGGAGGAAACAAUGCUUGUAAAUGUCAAAAAAUAAAUAAAUGCAAAAUUAGGCGGAGUUCUAACUUGAAGGUCACAUUUCACACACUUGAGUCUGAAGUUAUUAUUGCAACACAGAGGAGCCAUAUUAUAUAACUAAAUUUUGAAUUAUCAUAAAAUCUAGACCUAAUCUGAUUAAUGGCAUAGAGCUUCCGACAGGCUGAACAUACACGACAGCACACAGCCAAUAGCAGCAGUGAAAGAAGCAGUCAAAUAUUUCUUUAGUGAAAUGGGUUGUUAUAGAUUUAAAUGUUACCCCAACAUGCUUGAUACCAGGUUCCUUUAAAUAGUAGAUGUUGGUUGAUUUAGUCAACAAGAUUGAGAUGAGAUAAGAAUAAUGUAACUAAUUUGACCAGUAGCCAGACUACACCAUAGGGAUAGUGUCACACCCACAACAAUCUGUAUAGAUACAUUCUAGUGUACUAUAAUAUACAAUGUGGAAAACUGAACUCCUGACAGGUAGCAAUAUUUUUGGGUCAUUCAUUUCAUUAAAGAUAACGGAAACAAUGGGGUAUGCCUAAUAAUUCAAAAAAAUGAAUACUUUUUAGGUGGAUAGUUUGAUAGAUUUGUUCAUUUACAAUUUAAAAGGCAUAUUUUCAAAGCAUUCCUCUUGAGUAAUUUUUUUAAACGUGAACAUUCCAAGUUAAAGUUACAAACCUUAGAAUUUCACAACUUAUUUUUACAUUUUUCAUCAAUCAUUUUUGUUUUUCCACCCAAAUUUUGAAAUGCCAAUUCAAAUGUUCCUCCUCUGUCUGGUUUUGUUGGGCUGCUGUCCAGUAGGAGUUGUUGAACUGGGAUGAGGUGAGGUGAGCUAUCCCAUACAGUUUUCCUUCCUAACCCUUUCUCAGCAGUGAAAUAAAAGAAAGAUCAUCUGUAAUGAUGUCUCACUGAUUCUGAUUCGGCAUGCAAUGCUAAAGGUAAAGGUAAAAUAAAUAUUUUAUAGUAUACCUUUAUUGUUCCCUUUUGUUUUGCCAAAAACAAGUAAUUAAUUAUUGAUAUAUUCAAAUAAUAGAAACAAUAAUAUGAAUGGUUUUAAUGUCCCACAUAUACCCCAUUAGAAAGUUCUGAAACAGCUGAACACAAUGAAUAUGAAAAGCUGGAGGAUGUGAUGAUACUAACCCACAUCUGCCAAAUCUAUUUGAUUUCCCCUUUGACCACUCUGUUUAAUCUGUCCUUUGAGACCAGCCGUUUUCCAAAGAUCUGAAAACUUGCUGGAAUAAUUCCUGUGUUAAGAAGUAAAGCCCAGUACAUUACCACCCUCAAAUGAUUUGCAAUAUUUGAAUGGCAGUGCUUUUAAUCUGCCAUAAAAACUAUUAGAAGUGCAAUUUCUUCAGACUCAUUUUCACACUCAGACUCAUUUCAAAAGCUGCUCAAACAUAUAAAGCAAGGGCUUUAUCUGCAGGAUUAGUGAUUAAGGAUAACUUCUUGUGUUUGGAUUUUAGAACAUUGUCUACCUGGCAUAUUACAUGUAGCUCCCGAAGAGGGGAUGUGCUUUCUGUGACUCCAGAACCUGUAGCAAGCAGCACAGCAACUAACAAGUGCUGGGAGUCUAACCUCAAAGUGGACUGAAAAUCAAUUGAUGACACGUUGACAGACCAAGUUACAUGUAUCUACAGCCGGCAACUAGACCUGAAGAUCAGCUCCUGAACUCAGGCAACCAAUGUAAAACUGUAAUUGGAGACGCCGGUUCACCAUCGCCCGGGGACGCCUCCAAACCACCGCCCGAGGACACCCGCAAGCCACCGCCCAGAGACGCCUCCAAGACACCGCCCGGGGACGCCUCCAAGCCAAGGUCCGGGGACGCCUCCAAGCCAAGGUCCGGGGACGCCCGCAAGCCACCCCCCGAGGACGCCCGCAAGCCACCGCCCGGGGACGCCUCCAAGCCACUCUGCGCGAUCAACAGGGUGGUGCAGAUUCUGACAGUGGAGCAGAAAGCCUUUAUUACAGAACCGAAGUUCAGUUGUAUAUCCUGUAAAUACUUAGUCACCAACGUGGUGACUUGACGGUCAAAUCUACUGGCCAUAUUAAAAUUGAAGUUAGACCUGAUUUGAACCACGCUGGCGUUAACACAAUCAUACUGCUAUAGUUUUGUACGGUAAAAAUGUUCAAUGGCAAAACCGGAAACGUUUUACAAUUUCCGACCAGGACAAAAAUAUCUGGGCUGAAAACUGUGACAAUCCCAGAACUCAACAAAUCUAUAUUUGAACGAUAGAAGAAAACUCUAGUCGCUGUAUUUUACAUCAGCAUGACUAGGAACUACUGUAAAAUGGCCAGCUCCUAUGUAAAAAAGGCGUAGUUAAUUUACAUGUAUUUAGAACACAUACUAUUUUAUGUAUUAUGAUUGGUCCAAAUCAAUAUGUGUACUAGGUAUGUGUUUUUGACCCGGAUGGCCUUCCAUAGCAAGCUGCCUUUGGCUGUUAUUUUAGACAUCUUUAUGCUAGCCAUCUGAAGAAAUGGAAGAAUAUGAUUGGCUUAUAGAUGUGCUAAUCAUAACUAUAGAGGAGGCAAGAGAGCAUUCGCCUCCUCUGAAUGUACAGCAGUGACUGAGUGGAAAAUUUGGAUCAGGUGGCUGCCUCUGCAUAAAAUAAAUAUGUUGCAUAUUACAUAUAAGUAAAUAAAUUGAUAGAUAAAUAAAUUAAAUAAAUAGAUAAAUAAGAACUUAUUUUAAAAAGGUCGAGUAGGCAGUGCCUCCUCUGCUUCCUCCGACGAGCCUCCACUGGGUUGUUGUAGUGUGAAUAAUCCACAAUAUCUAAAUGAGUAUAUGAGGUGCAAGCAGUUGCUAGUUUCCUGUUGUUUUCAGCUCUGAAUGAGAAGAAGCAGAAACAAUUAAAAGGCUGAACAAAAUACUACUGUAGAUCUUAGCUUUCUGUGAAUAGAAAACAGGGUUCACAAAUUGCUGGGAAAAGUAAAUAUACUAAUUUAUAAAACAAGUAUUUAAAGCCGUUGUAUCCUACAAUCAUUUCUCUCUUUUAUUUUUUACAUUCUGUAAAAUGGUUCUUUAGCCCUUGAAAUUAGCUUACCCAAUUUUCUGUAACCCAAAGAGUUAUAUAAUCAGCAUUUUAUGGCAGCAGUUGAAGAUCCUAAAUGUCACCUUCAAAACUAUAUCCUAUGAAACAAAUCCACAAUAAAAAGAGUGAUCACCUUUAUCCCCUAUAAAUCCCUGGUAAAGUCCAGUUAAAAUGAAAGAGUUAUGCUCUUGCACAAUAUAGCUGUUGCUCCACCUGGUCGAUACUUAAGUUUUGGCAGCUGGCAUUAAAGUGUAGAUGAUGAAUUAUUAGGACUUCUGUCAGUGUUUAUACCAUUUCUUGUUGUUUAAUUUCAGAACAUUUUCUGACAAAAAUCUGUGUUUGUUGCAGCUUUUCAUUGUUUUAUAGAAUCUAAGAAUUGAAGUGACGGGUUCUUUCUUUUACUGCUCAAAAGCACUUAUCUGGAGUUUGAUUGUGUCCUGAAAAUGUGCAAAUCAAAUAAUUAUUUUAUAAUUUAUUUCUCCUCUCUCUCUCUCCCCUGUUCUCCACUCACCGAACACCCAACCCUGAGUGAGUGAAACACUGCUUCUUUUAUGCAACUGUACCAAGACUCGAUUGCUAAUCAAUUAUUCAACUGGGAUCUCGGUACAUCUGCAGGUGAACUAAUUGUGCUCCCUGUGUUUCCAUACUAAUACCCACAUUAAUCUGCACGUGGAGUGAUUGUGCAAUCCCUGUGCCUAAUUAGACAAUUAGACAUUUUAACAACACUCGUGCUACAUAGCCCCACGUUAUAUCCCGUGCACCAAUACAUAUACGCCAACAUUAACACACCACAUAUAACAUAAAACACAGAAAUACGCACAGGGACAGGGCAACCCGUCACAGUGUUAUAUCUGCAGGCAGUACCGGUGUCCCAGGAAAUAAAUUGAUCGGGAAAUAAGUUGAUCAAGCUCUAGAAUUUAAAGGGGAGGUUCCAUUGUUUCUAAUGUAAACGAGCCUAAGCUAGGAAAUAAGUAGAUCGAGCCAGGAAAUAAGUUGAUCGGAUAUAUUAAUGAACAAUAAAUAAUUUAAAAUUAAUUUUGUAAGUAUAAUUUAUAUCAAUUAGUAGAUCGGAUUUAUUCGGCAGUAUGCUGCUAGAUAAGAUGAUGUGAAUAUCGCUUUAGAUCCAAUAUAUUAGCCUAACAGAAAUGCAAAAUUUAAAAUUACUUUUGUACGUAUAAUUUACAUUAACAUGUAGAUCGGAUAUAUUCGACAGUAUUACGCUAGAUAAGGGAAUGUGAAUAUCGCUGUAAUAUAUAUUAGCAGCAAAUAAUAAUUUAAAAUGAAUUGUAUACAUUUCUGAUUGUGUAUUUCUGUUUGUGUAACAAAUAUUAACUAGCAAAAUGUGUUACGUAUUGACGUUAUUUUGCAUUUCUGGAGGUGUUUUUGUUUUGGGAAGCACUACAGUAUGGACAGCAGGUAUGCGAGCGAUUGUCCAAAAGUUAAAGCAUGAGUUUCAAUCAUGGAAAAAAUUAAGCUCCAUGCUGCGAUUACUAACUAGGCCACGGUGCACAUCAAUCACAUGAUGUACUUGAAAAACUUUGCUUAUACAGUAUUAUUAUUUUAUAUUUGUUCUUUCAUUUAUUUUUACAUACAGUACUUUGUAUAAUUAGGACAGAAAACGAACAGGAGACAGGAGGUUAUCAUAGUGCAUGUAUUUCAAUUACAAGAUUUGGAAGAAACAAUACAUUAAUUAAUUAAAAACUAAAGAGUUAAUGUCUUUGCUAAACCGUGGUAAAUACCUGUAGUUCAAAACCAACCAAGAUUUUGUGUUGUGAGAGAGAUCGUACAGUAUAUGUAGGCUACUCUAUAUCAGCAUCAUUUUAAAAUGGUAACUCCCUGUAGUGCAACAACCAAUAAGACAUAUAAUGAGAAAGAGAUACAGUAUAUUGAAUUAAAGUGAAUUAUCACGAUUUAAAAUCAUGUAGAUAUACACAUAUGUACGGUAAUAAUAUUAUGGAUGCAGCAUGUCAUUUAUAUUACUGAAACAUUUUAAUUUUGAUUAAAGAUUGACAACAUUUUGACGUGUAAAAUAAUUUAAUAUAUAAAUAAAUAUCCGCGAUCGCACAUAAACUGCAUCAGAUUGACAUCGAUGUUAUAGAAACAUAGAAAGACAGAGGUUUAAAACAGUUUACCAUAGAAAUAGUCGUCGAUCACACAUUUUAAAUUUCAUACAAAAAGACAGUGGCACAAACACGCACUGACAUAUACAGUCUAGUAAAUAAAACGGCCAGGUAAAAAUAAAAAGCCAUGUAGUGAACCUCCCCUUUAAUCAAACUGUAGCCCCGCCUUACUGCGCUUGCACGAUCAAUUUAUUUCCUACAACACCAGCAACAAAGGUAAAAUUCACCAGGAAAGGGGGUAAAAUCAGAAAAACUUAAAUAAUAUAGUGAUUGUUGAUAAGUUGUUGCAAAUAUUUGAAUGAUAAACCCUUACUGCAUUGUGAAAGGACAGCUGUAGGGGUAUGUGACAGAAAUAUAAUGAGUUCUGGUUGUAAAUCUCCCUCCCGACCUGUGAGGGCGCUAAGUAGCUAAAGGGAAAGGCUUUGGACAGGUUGGCCUGACAGUUCAUUUCCUGGGUCGGGAAGUUGGUCAGCCUGGAAGAAGGCGAGACUCCGUUGCAGGAACUUAUUGACCUGGAAGGUAAAUGAGGUAGCAGCUGCAGGCAAUAGAGUCAGCUGCAAUCGUUUACCAAGGGGUCAUGCAUGAUAGCAUAAAGGGGCCGGAGAAUCGAAAUCUCUUCCUUUGCUUGGUUUUUAUUGAGAGACUGGAAGGACCGUGUGAGAUGCAGAGAGAGUGUACUGAAAAAUAUUCGUGAGUGUUUUGUUUGUUUGUUCGUAUCUGUUUAGUAACUGUCUGUGUUUUUGUUAUCACUAGACGGCUAAACACGAAUCCGGAGUUGUCGCCAAGGGCCAGCACAAAACCGGAUCACCAUUGCACUAAAACUGUCACGAACUAUAAUAAAUUGUUAUCACCUACUACGAGCACUACUGCACGCACCGGGACGGGUGAUCGUGGUGAGUAUUAUUGUGGGGCAGAUAACGUGUCUUUAUUAUUUAGGGCUGCAAUCCCUGUUUUCUGUACUCUGUGUUUUACAUAUUGCUGUGUAUUACCAGAGCUUAUUAUUUGGUCACCAGACCCGGAUUAUAAAACAAAAUAAAU